GCAAAGUCGCUUUUAAAUUCUACUUGAAGCCUACAACAAUGGCGGAUUUCUGCAAAUCGUCCUUGUUCUAUUCUGAUCAACAACUCUGCUACGCAGAAAUACUUCCACCUUCAGUGGUACGAGCUAGAAUCAAAGUCGCAGUCCUCAAUUUUCUCAAGAUCUUGAAUUCUCCGAAUCCGGCCAUCACCGACCUUCCUCUGAUAAGUAGGACGUCAAAUAAUAGUCGAGUGAGCCGUGGAUUGAUGACGGAUGUUUCCUCAAUUUUUCUCUCACACUCUUUUUGCACGAGGUCUCUAAUGCGAGCCAAUGCCGCC
This is a long non-coding RNA of Telopea speciosissima, 314 nucleotides long. RefSeq lists it as uncharacterized. The transcript has 3 exons. Lineage: Eukaryota; Viridiplantae; Streptophyta; Magnoliopsida; Proteales; Proteaceae. The record is from RefSeq and is a predicted model, not a curated record.